This 216-nucleotide long non-coding RNA is filed under the name Physcomitrium patens. RNAcentral describes it as "long non-coding RNA (PPAT_LNC002851)". The record is from RNAcentral. Lineage: Eukaryota; Viridiplantae; Streptophyta; Bryopsida; Funariales; Funariaceae.
UCUCUAUAACUUCUUUAUUCAAAUUCCAAAUAUAAUAAAUUUUUUGCAAAAGAUGUAAGUCAUAAAAUCAUUGUUUUAGCCACACCUUUUAAUUUCCAAAAAUUAUCGUAAAACUCCUUGUAUGCUCAAAAGAGCGACAAUAUAACUUUAAAUGAUACCUUAACUUCAAAUGGCUAUAAUUUCUUCAUCCUAACUCCAAACUCACUAAUUUUUGUA